RNAcentral lists this ribosomal RNA (497 nucleotides) under uncultured bacterium. RNAcentral's name for it is "partial 16S ribosomal RNA". It matches the Rfam family "Bacterial small subunit ribosomal RNA", at positions 28 to 507 of the family's 1533-position model. The record is from RNAcentral.
GAUGAACGCUGGCGGCGUGCCUAAUACAUGCAAGUCGAGCGAACAGACGAGGAGCUUGCUCCUCUGACGUUAGCGGCGGACGGGUGAGUAACACGUGGAUAACCUACCUAUAAGACUGGGAUAACUUCGGGAAACCGGAGCUAAUACCGGAUAAUAUAUUGAACCGCAUGGUUCAAUAGUGAAAGACGGUUUUGCUGUCACUUAUAGAUGGAUCCGCGCCGCAUUAGCUAGUUGGUAAGGUAACGGCUUACCAAGGCAACGAUGCGUAGCCGACCUGAGAGGGUGAUAGGCCACACUGGAGCUGAGACACGGUCCAGACUCCUACGGGAGGCAGCAGUAGGGAAUCUUCCGCAAUGGGCGAAAGCUUGACGGAGCAACGCCGCGUGAGUGAUGAAGGUCUUCGGAUCGUAAAACUCUGUUAUUAGGGAAGAACAAAUGUGUAAGUAAAUAUGCACGUCUUGACGGUACCUAAUCAGAAAGCCACGGCUAACUACGUG